Molecule: long non-coding RNA, 449 nt
Filed under: Gallus gallus (chicken)
Lineage: Eukaryota; Metazoa; Chordata; Aves; Galliformes; Phasianidae
Source: RNAcentral
GGCAGAAGAAAGGCUUCCCAGCCUGGCUGCAAUCCUUGGUGCUCUCCAGCUCCAUCACGACAUGGGAGGCAGUCUUCUUCUGUCUCCUGUGGGCCUGGCAGCAGAAGAGGCAGAGGUGCGCCCCGCAGGUCUGGCAGCGCCUCGCAGCCGCUCCGUCGGCGCACAGGUCGCACCCCGCCGUGCCGGCAGCCCCGCCGCGCCCCAGCGCCGUGUAGUCGGGGACGAGCUGCCCGAGGCCGCCCGGCGGCAGCGCCACCUCGGCAUCGCACAGCGGGCACAGCACGCUGAAGGCGGCGGCGGCCCGGCCCGGCUCUCCCAGCGUCCCCAGGCGCCGCAGGCAGGGCGCGCACAGCGAGUGCAGGCAGGGCAGUAGCCGGGGCUCCACGCAUGGCUCGGCGCACACCGGGCAGCGCCACGCGGCCAUCCUGCAUCUCACCCGGCUGCUAACG